CGAGAAAGUUCUCUUCGGAGAGCGAGUAGAGUGGCGCACGGGUGAGUAACGCGUAGGUAAUCUACCCUUAUACCUGGGAUAACAUUGGGAAACUGGUGCUAAUACCGGAUACACUUCUUAGCUGCGGGGCGAGGGAGGAAAGGUGACCUCUUCAUGAAAGUUACCGUAUAGGGAUGAGCCUGCGUACCAUUAGCUAGUAGGUGGGGUAACGGCCCACCUAGGCGACGAUGGUUAGCGGGUCUGAGAGGAUGAUCCGCCACACUGGAACUGGAACACGGACCAGACUCCUACGGGAGGCAGCAGUGAGGAAUAUUGCGCAAUGGGGGAAACCCUGACGCAGCGACGCCGCGUGAGUGAGGAAGGCCUUCGGGUCGUAAAGCUCUGUCAGAAGGGAAGAAGUGUUAUACGGUUAAUACCCGUAUAAUUUGACGGUACCUUCAGAGGAAGCACCGGCUAACUCCGUGCCAGCAGCCGCGGUAAUACGGAGGGUGCGAGCGUUGUUCGGAAUUACUGGGCGUAAAGGGCGCGUAGGCGGCUGGAUAAGUCAGAUGUGAAAGCCCACGGCUUAACUGUGGAAGUGCAUUUGAAACUGUCUGGCUUGAGUAUCGGAGGGGAGUGUGGAAUUCCCGGUGUAGAGGUGAAAUUCGUAGAGAUCGGGAGGAACACCGGUGGCGAAGGCGACACUCUGGACGAAUACUGACGCUGAGGCGCGAAAGCGUGGGGAGCAAACAGGAUUAGAUACCCUGGUAGUCCACGCCGUAAACGAUGUGAACUAGAGGUAGGAGGUGUUGAUUCCUUCUG
RNAcentral lists this ribosomal RNA (801 nucleotides) under uncultured bacterium. RNAcentral describes it as "bacterial SSU rRNA". It matches the Rfam family "Bacterial small subunit ribosomal RNA", at positions 67 to 843 of the family's 1533-position model. The record is from RNAcentral.